GAACGGGGAGCAGCCCAGAGCCUGAAUCAGUGUGUGUGUUAGUGGAAGCGUCUGGAAAGGCGCGCGAUACAGGGUGACAGCCCCGUACACAAAAAUGCACAUAUUGUGAGCUCGAUGAGUAGGGCGGGACACGUGGUAUCCUGUCUGAAUAUGGGGGGACCAUCCUCCAAGGCUAAAUACUCCUGACUGACCGAUAGUGAACCAGUACCGUGAGGGAAAGGCGAAAAGAACCCCGGCGAGGGGAGUGAAAAAGAACCUGAAACCGUGUACGUACAAGCAGUGGGAGCACGCUUAGGCGUGUGACUGCGUACCUUUUGUAUAAUGGGUCAGCGACUUAUAUUCUGUAGCAAGGUUAACCGAAUAGGGGAGCCGAAGGGAAACCGAGUCUUAACUGGGCGUUAAGUUGCAGGGUAUAGACCCGAAACCCGGUGAUCUAGCCAUGGGCAGGUUGAAGGUUGGGUAACACUAACUGGAGGACCGAACCGACUAAUGUUGAAAAAUUAGCGGAUGACUUGUGGCUGGGGGUGAAAGGCCAAUCAAACCGGGAGAUAGCUGGUUCUCCCCGAAAGCUAUUUAGGUAGCGCCUCGUGAAUUCAUCUCCGGGGGUAGAGCACUGUUUCGGCAAGGGGGUCAUCCCGACUUACCAACCCGAUGCAAACUGCGAAUACCGGAGAAUGUUAUCACGGGAGACACACGGCGGGUGCUAACGUCCGUCGUGAAGAGGGAAACAACCCAGACCGCCAGCUAAGGUCCCAAAGUCAUGGUUAAGUGGGAAACGAUGUGGGAAGGCCCAGACAGCCAGGAUGUUGGCUUAGAAGCAGCCAUCAUUUAAAGAAAGCGUAAUAGCUCACUGGUCGAGUCGGCCUGCGCGGAAGAUGUAACGGGGCUAAACCAUGCACCGAAGCUGCGGCAGCGACGCUUAUGCGUUGUUGGGUAGGGGAGCGUUCUGUAAGCCUGUGAAGGUGUGCUGUGAGGCAUGCUGGAGGUAUCAGAAGUGCGAAUGCUGACAUAAGUAACGAUAAAGCGGGUGAAAAGCCCGCUCGCCGGAAGACCAAGGGUUCCUGUCCAACGUUAAUCGGGGCAGGGUGAGUCGACCCCUAAGGCGAGGCCGAAAGGCGUAGUCGAUGGGAAACAGGUUAAUAUUCCUGUACUUGGUGUUACUGCGAAGGGGGGACGGAGAAGGCUAUGUUGGCCGGGCGACGGUUGUCCCGGUUUAAGCGUGUAGGCUGGUUUUCCAGGCAAAUCCGGAAAAUCAAGGCUGAGGCGUGAUGACGAGGCACUACGGUGCUGAAGCAACAAAUGCCCUGCUUCCAGGAAAAGCCUCUAAGCAUCAGGUAACAUCAAAUCGUACCCCAAACCGACACAGGUGGUCAGGUAGAGAAUACCAAGGCGCUUGAGAGAACUCGGGUGAAGGAACUAGGCAAAAUGGUGCCGUAACUUCGGGAGAAGGCACGCUGAUAUGUAGGUGAAGCGACUUGCUCGUGGAGCUGAAAUCAGUCGAAGAUACCAGCUGGCUGCAACUGUUUAUUAAAAACACAGCACUGUGCAAACACGAAAGUGGACGUAUACGGUGUGACGCCUGCCCGGUGCCGGAAGGUUAAUUGAUGGGGUCAGCGCAAGCGAAGCUCUUGAUCGAAGCCCCGGUAAACGGCGGCCGUAACUAUAACGGUCCUAAGGUAGCGAAAUUCCUUGUCGGGUAAGUUCCGACCUGCACGAAUGGCGUAAUGAUGGCCAGGCUGUCUCCACCCGAGACUCAGUGAAAUUGAACUCGCUGUGAAGAUGCAGUGUACCCGCGGCAAGACGGAAAGACCCCGUGAACCUUUACUAUAGCUUGACACUGAACAUUGAGCCUUGAUGUGUAGGAUAGGUGGGAG
Molecule: ribosomal RNA, 1874 nt
Filed under: Escherichia coli
Lineage: Bacteria; Pseudomonadati; Pseudomonadota; Gammaproteobacteria; Enterobacterales; Enterobacteriaceae
Description: partial 23S ribosomal RNA
Rfam family: Bacterial large subunit ribosomal RNA
Source: RNAcentral